CUGUAACAUCAAGAGUAUGAACUCUUGUGAUGGUAACCUAGACAUGCAGAGAGGUUGUAAUACCCUGAGAACUUAAAAUUUCAGUCGUGGAUUAAAAUGAUCAAGAGAAGAUGUUUGAGGGCCCAUGUCCUUUGCAAACAAAAAGUCAGAGUGACCACUAAGGUAGCAGUUUCAGCAACCACUGCUCUGAAAAGGCAUGGGGAGAGACACGCCAGCAGAGCUGAGUCUUCUGAACCAAACGGAGCUAUUUUUUGCACAGUGAGUUCUGUGAUUGAAGAAUCUCCCGAGCUGUCUGACACUGUGUUCAUAACACUAGCA
This 318-nucleotide long non-coding RNA is filed under the name Gallus gallus (chicken). RNAcentral describes it as "long non-coding RNA NONGGAT007865". The record is from RNAcentral. Lineage: Eukaryota; Metazoa; Chordata; Aves; Galliformes; Phasianidae.